RNAcentral lists this ribosomal RNA (497 nucleotides) under uncultured bacterium. RNAcentral describes it as "partial 16S ribosomal RNA". It matches the Rfam family "Bacterial small subunit ribosomal RNA", at positions 28 to 507 of the family's 1533-position model. The record is from RNAcentral.
GAUGAACGCUGGCGGCGUGCCUAAUACAUGCAGGUCGAGCGAACAGACGAGGAGCUUGCUCCUCUGACGUUAGCGGCGGACGGGUGAGUAACACGUGGAUAACCUACCUAUAAGACUGGGAUAACUUCGGGAAACCGGAGCUAAUACCGGAUAAUAUAUUGAACCGCAUGGUUCAAUAGUGAAAGACGGUUUUGCUGUCACUUAUAGAUGGAUCCGCGCCGCAUUAGCUAGUUGGUAAGGUAACGGCUUACCAAGGCAACGAUGCGUAGCCGACCUGAGAGGGUGAUCGGCCACACUGGAACUGAGACACGGUCCAGACUCCUACGGGAGGCAGCAGUAGGGAAUCUUCCGCAAUGGGCGAAAGCCUGACGGAGCAACGCCGCGUGAGUGAUGAAGGUCCUCGGAUCGUAAAACUCUGUUAUUAGGGAAGAACAAAUGUGUAAGUAACUAUGCACGUCUUGACGGUACCUAAUCAGAAAGCCACGGCUAACUACGUG